CGUCGGCAGCGUCAGAUGUGUAUAAGAGCCAGGUGAGUCAUCGAAUCUUUGAACGCAAAUUGCGCCCUUUGGUAUUCCGAAGGGCAUGCCUGUUUGAGUGUCUUAUAAACCUCACCUCUAUUGUUUCAUUACAUAUAGACUGGUGCUUUGGGUGUCUGCCGUUUACUCUGGCUCGCCUUAAAUAUCUAAGUGGAAUGCGUAAUAAGUCUUCGCAACCCUCCACUCUAACACACUUUUAUAUUCUGACCUCAAAUCAGGUAGGACUACCCGCUGAACUUAAGCAUAUCAAUAAGCGGAGGA
RNAcentral lists this unclassified non-coding RNA (300 nucleotides) under uncultured Dioszegia. RNAcentral describes it as "sequence contains 5.8S rRNA gene, ITS2". The stretch from base 1 to 103 matches the Rfam family "5.8S ribosomal RNA", at positions 47 to 154 of the family's 154-position model. Lineage: Eukaryota; Fungi; Basidiomycota; Tremellomycetes; Tremellales; Bulleribasidiaceae. The record is from RNAcentral.